CCUACGGGGGCUGCAGUGGGGAAUAUUGGACAAUGGGGGGAACCCUGAUCCAGCCAUGCCGCGUGUGUGAAGAAGGCCCUCGGGUUGUAAAGCACUUUCAGUGAGGAAGAACGCCUGGUGGUUAAUACCCAUCAGGAAAGACAUCACUCACAGAAGAAGCACCGGCUAACUCCGUGCCAGCAGCCGCGGUAAUACGGAGGGUGCGAGCGUUAAUCGGAAUUACUGGGCGUAAAGCGCGCGUAGGUGGCUUGAUAAGCCGGUUGUGAAAGCCCCGGGCUCAACCUGGGAACGGCAUCCGGAACUGUCAAGCUAGAGUGCAGGAGAGGAAGGUAGAAUUCCCGGUGUAGCGGUGAAAUGCGUAGAGAUCGGGAGGAAUACCAGUGGCGAAGGCGGCCUUCUGGACUGACACUGACACUGAGGUGCGAAAGCGUGGGUAGCAAACAGGAUUAGAUACCCCUGUAGUC
This 464-nucleotide ribosomal RNA is filed under the name Vreelandella stevensii. RNAcentral describes it as "partial 16S ribosomal RNA". It matches the Rfam family "Bacterial small subunit ribosomal RNA", at positions 338 to 795 of the family's 1533-position model. The record is from RNAcentral. Lineage: Bacteria; Pseudomonadati; Pseudomonadota; Gammaproteobacteria; Oceanospirillales; Halomonadaceae.